Molecule: unclassified non-coding RNA, 329 nt
Filed under: soil metagenome
Description: partial contains 5.8S ribosomal RNA, internal transcribed spacer 2, and large subunit ribosomal RNA
Rfam family: 5.8S ribosomal RNA (bases 1-120)
Source: RNAcentral
GAUGAAGAACGCAGCGAAAUGCGAUAAGUAAUGUGAAUUGCAGAAUUCAGUGAAUCAUCGAAUCUUUGAACGCACAUUGCGCCCCUUGGUAUUCCGAGGGGCAUGCCUGUUCGAGCGUCAUUAUAACCCCUCAAGCUCAGCUUGGUGUUGGGGCCUGCUGCACUGGCAGCCCUUAAAAUCAGUGGCGGCGCCAUCUGGCUCUAAGCGUAGUAAUUCUUCUCGCUAUGGAGUCCUGGUGGAUGCUUGCCAUCAACCCCCAACUUUUCUAUGGUUGACCUCGGAUCAGGUAGGGAUACCCGCUGAACUUAAGCAUAUCAACAAGCGGAGGA